Molecule: ribosomal RNA, 305 nt
Filed under: uncultured bacterium
Lineage: Bacteria
Description: bacterial SSU rRNA
Rfam family: Bacterial small subunit ribosomal RNA
Source: RNAcentral
UUCCUACGGGACGCAGCAGUGAGGAAUAUUGGUCAAUGGGCUUACGCCUGAACCAGCCAAGUCGCGUGAGGGAAGACUGCCCUAUGGGUUGUAAACCUCUUUUGUCAGGGAGCAAUUGGCGCUACGUGUAGCGUUAUCGAGAGUACCUGAAGAAAAAGCAUCGGCUAACUCCGUGCCAGCAGCCGCGGUAAUACGGAGGAUGCGAGCGUUAUCCGGAUUUAUUGGGUUUAAAGGGUGCGCAGGCGGAUUUUUAAGUCAGCGGUCAAAUCGUGGGGCUCAACCCCAUCCAGCCGUUGAAACUGGGG